UCUAAUAUGGCAGAAAAGUGUGAUGGAUUUAAGCUCCAUAUAUAAAAUUUAUAUUUUUAUUAGAA
This 65-nucleotide transfer RNA is filed under the name Ectoneura hanitschi. RNAcentral describes it as "tRNA-Leu". Lineage: Eukaryota; Metazoa; Arthropoda; Insecta; Blattodea; Ectobiidae. The record is from RNAcentral.